GAAUUAAUUUGGUGAUUGACUGUUGUGUCCAAGGUGUGUGGCUUGAAGACAUGGUCUCCAACCUUCUUGAAAUCUUCGAAACACUCAUUUCUCUUCUGCUUCUUCGUUCUUAUUCAAUUUCGUUUUCUCUUCGUCAAAGCCGUAAACCCUAGGGAAAAGGGGAAGUGUGUUGGUGCGGCUAGGGGAGGGAAGAGCAUCAGGUAGGAAUGGUUUAGGCGAGUGAAUGAGAGUAAUGGAGGGAGUAUCUCGUUUUGGUGGCGCGAGAGAGAAGGAGAAAGGGAAUCCGAUGAUGGUGAGCGGGGGUUUAGGGUUGGUUUGGGGUUCAUUGUGAAGGCUAUUCGAGGAAUUUGGGAAUGUUGGAGAAGGACACGAAGAAAAGAGAAAUUGUGAGAAGCAGCGAGUGAAUUGAAGUGACAAGGAGAGAAUGAGUGGGUCGCGAGAGGCUAAGAAGAGAAAAGAGACGCAUUCAGGCACUUGUUCCAAGUAUGAAGUGACAAGUCACGACGUACCCAUAUGCUGAUUGCCAAAGUUGAUAUGUUAUUGUUGUAUUGUAUGAGAUUGAAUUGGGUAUGCCGUAGUCUUUUAUUUUUUAAAUGUGUGGCUGACCAAGCAACUUAUGUUAA
Vigna angularis (adzuki bean) is the source of this 623-nucleotide long non-coding RNA. RefSeq lists it as uncharacterized. The record is from RefSeq and is a predicted model, not a curated record. Lineage: Eukaryota; Viridiplantae; Streptophyta; Magnoliopsida; Fabales; Fabaceae. The transcript is spliced from 2 exons.